GUGAAUCAUCAAAUCUUUGAACGCAAAUUGCACUCUCUUCGGAGAGUAUGCCUGUUUGAGGGUCAGUAUCAAUAAAAAUCGGUGUGUUGCUUUUUUGUGACGUUACGGUGUUUGGGUCAUCUUAAUAUCCUUUAGGUUUUAAGAGGCUUAAAAUAGACUUUUUUUGUGCAUUUUAGAUGUACAUAUAUUCUUUUUUUUAUUCUUCUGUCUUAAUGAUCUUAAUCUUAU
RNAcentral lists this unclassified non-coding RNA (228 nucleotides) under Rhizophagus sp. (in: glomeromycetes). Its description in RNAcentral is "partial contains 5.8S ribosomal RNA and internal transcribed spacer 2". The stretch from base 1 to 65 matches the Rfam family "5.8S ribosomal RNA", at positions 84 to 154 of the family's 154-position model. Lineage: Eukaryota; Fungi; Glomeromycota; Glomeromycetes; Glomerales; Glomeraceae. The record is from RNAcentral.